ACAAAUGGCGACUAGGGUUCCGGCCCCUCCGCUCGGGGGCGUCUGGUCCGAGAGUUUCCGGCCCCGUGGCUCGCGGGGUUACACGGCGGGAUAAAAGCCCGGGAGGU
Molecule: small RNA, 107 nt
Filed under: Methylocaldum szegediense
Lineage: Bacteria; Pseudomonadati; Pseudomonadota; Gammaproteobacteria; Methylococcales; Methylococcaceae
Description: ykkC-yxkD
Rfam family: Guanidine-I riboswitch aptamer
About the family: This family represents a conserved RNA structure found upstream of the ykkC and yxkD genes in Bacillus subtilis and related genes in other bacteria. The function of this family is unclear although it has been suggested that it may function to switch on efflux pumps and detoxification systems in response to harmful environmental molecules.
Source: RNAcentral